AAAUGCCUGGGAUACGCGCCACCCGAAUAUGUCCAACCUACAUUGAAUAAAAGGGAGUCCGGUGCCCGUGCGGCUGUCGGGCCGCCUCUGAGCGGAUGGCAAAAACACGGCCAGGACACCCACCUGCGAGAAGCGGGUAUGGACAUACCGGGAACGGUAUCGCGGGCGCUGA
Molecule: non-coding RNA, 172 nt
Filed under: Anaeroselena agilis
Lineage: Bacteria; Bacillati; Bacillota; Negativicutes; Acetonemataceae
Description: 6S RNA
Rfam family: 6S / SsrS RNA
About the family: E. coli 6S RNA was the first non coding RNA to be sequenced, but its function was unknown until recently.
Source: RNAcentral